RNAcentral lists this ribosomal RNA (468 nucleotides) under uncultured bacterium. RNAcentral describes it as "partial 16S ribosomal RNA". It matches the Rfam family "Bacterial small subunit ribosomal RNA", at positions 28 to 507 of the family's 1533-position model. The record is from RNAcentral.
GAUGAACGCUGGCGGCGUGCUUAACACAUGCAAGUCGAACGGUGAAGGCGGAGCUUGCCCUGCUGGAUCAGUGGCGAACGGGUGAGUAACACGUGAGCAAUCUGCCCCUGACUCUGGGAUAAGCGCUGGAAACGGCGUCUAAUACUGGAUACGAGCUGCGAAGGCAUCUUCAGCAGCUGGAAAGAACUUCGGUCAGGGAUGAGCUCGCGGCCUAUCAGCUUGUUGGUGAGGUAACGGCUCACCAAGGCGUCGACGGGUAGCCGGCCUGAGAGGGUGACCGGCCACACUGGGACUGAGACACGGCCCAGACUCCUACGGGAGGCAGCAGUGGGGAAUAUUGCACAAUGGGCGAAAGCCUGAUGCAGCAACGCCGCGUGAGGGACGACGGCCUUCGGGUUGUAAACCUCUUUUAGCAGGGAAGAAGCGAAAGUGACGGUACCUGCAGAAAAAGCGCCGGCUAACUACGUG